Molecule: ribosomal RNA, 244 nt
Filed under: uncultured bacterium
Lineage: Bacteria
Description: partial 16S ribosomal RNA
Rfam family: Bacterial small subunit ribosomal RNA
Source: RNAcentral
UACGUAGGGUGCAAGCGUUAAUCGGAAUUACUGGGCGUAAAGCGUGCGCAGGCGGUUUUGUAAGCCAGAUGUGAAAAGCCCCCGGGCGUCAACCUGGGAACGUGCGUUUGGAACUACAAGACUAGAGUGUGUCAGAGGGGGUGGAAUUCCGCGUGUAGCAGUGAAAUAGCGUAGAGAUGCGGAGGAACACCGAUGGCGAAGGCAGCCCCCUGGGAUAACACUAACGCUCAUGCACGAAAGACGU